Molecule: ribosomal RNA, 465 nt
Filed under: Vreelandella stevensii
Lineage: Bacteria; Pseudomonadati; Pseudomonadota; Gammaproteobacteria; Oceanospirillales; Halomonadaceae
Description: partial 16S ribosomal RNA
Rfam family: Bacterial small subunit ribosomal RNA
Source: RNAcentral
ACUACGGGUGGCAGCAGUGGGGAAUAUUGGACAAUGGGCGAAAGCCUGAUCCAGCCCUGCCGCGUGUGUGAAGAAGGCCUUCGGGUUGUAAAGCACUUUCAGUGGGGAAGAAAGCCUUGGGGCUAAUACCCUCGAGGAAGGACAUCACCCACAGAAGAAGCACCGGCUAACUCCGUGCCAGCAGCCGCGGUAAUACGGAGGGUGCGAGCGUUAAUCGGAAUUACUGGGCGUAAAGCGCGCGUAGGCGGUCUGAUAAGCCGGUUGUGAAAGCCCCGGGCUCAACCUGGGAACGGCAUCCGGAACUGUCAGGCUAGAGUGCAGGAGAGGAAAGUAGAAUUCCCGGUGUAGCGGUGAAAUGCGUAGAGAUCGGGAGGAAUACCAGUGGCGAAGGCGGCCUUCUGGACUGACACUGACGCUGAGGUGCGAAAGCGUGGGUAGCAAACAGGAUUAGAUACCCGAGUAGUC